AGUGAACGCUGGCGGUAGGCCUAACACAUGCAAGUCGAACGGCAGCACAGUAAGAGCUUGCUCUUACGGGUGGCGAGUGGCGGACGGGUGAGGAAUACAUCGGAAUCUACUUUUUCGUGGGGGAUAACGUAGGGAAAGUUACGCUAAUACCGCAUACGAUCUACGGGUGAAAGCAGGGGAUCUUCGGACCUUGCGCGAUUGAAUGCGCCGAUGUCGGAUUAGCUAGUUGGCGGGGUAAAGGCCCAGCAAGGCGACGAUCCGUAGCUGGUCUGAGAGGAUGGUCGGCCACACGGGAACUGGGACACGGACCAGGCUCCUACGGGAGGCAGCAGUGGGGAAUAUUGGACAAUGGGCGCAAACCUGAUCCAGCCAUACCGCGUGGGUGAAGAAGGCCUUCGGGUUGUAAAGCCCUUUUGUUGGGAAAGAAAAGCAGCAGGUUAAUACCCCGCUGUUCUGACGGUACCCAAAGAAUAAGCACCGGCUAACUUCGUG
RNAcentral lists this ribosomal RNA (492 nucleotides) under uncultured bacterium. RNAcentral's name for it is "partial 16S ribosomal RNA". It matches the Rfam family "Bacterial small subunit ribosomal RNA", at positions 29 to 507 of the family's 1533-position model. The record is from RNAcentral.